UACGGGGGGGGCAAGCGUUGUUCGGAAUUACUGGGCGUAAAGGGCUCGUAGGUGGCCAACUAAGUCGGACGUGAAAUCCCUCGGCUCAACCGGGGAACUGCGUCUGAUACUGGCGGGCUUGAAUUCGGGAGAGGGAUGUGGAAUUCCAGGUGUAGCGGUGAAAUGCGUAGAUAUCUGGAGGAACACCGGUGGCGAAGGCGGCAUCCUGGACCGACAUUGACGCUGAGGCGCGAAAGCCAGGGGAGCAAACGGG
This 253-nucleotide ribosomal RNA is filed under the name uncultured bacterium. Its description in RNAcentral is "partial 16S ribosomal RNA". It matches the Rfam family "Bacterial small subunit ribosomal RNA", at positions 524 to 776 of the family's 1533-position model. The record is from RNAcentral.